AAGGAGACUGGUAGGAAGUGGGAAAGAUUCAUGACAUGUUCAAGCUGAACCUGCAAAUAAUAAGCUUUAUAUCUUUCCUGGAGGCUUUCUCAACUGGGUAACCCCCUCAAUUUGCGUCAUGGAUCAACAGGUUGGACAAAUAAUUACUUUAGAUAUUUCCUGCAAAGACAUGAAACAAGCUUCCUGAAAGAAAGUCUCCCUCGUUGUUUCCACAUUGACAGGUGGCCUCAUCACUCCGAGCAUUACAGACCACCUUGAAGAUAUCAGCGCCAGUGGCCUUUGAAGUAAGAAUAAUCAACAAGCCAUUUGAUACUCGAUCAGAUGAAAUAGCCUUGUCAGAAAAGGCCAGCUCUCAGCAAAACUCAAGGUGGCUAAUGAAAGUAAGAUGAAAUGCAAAGGACUGAAAGCAGAC
Euleptes europaea (tarantolino) is the source of this 412-nucleotide long non-coding RNA. RefSeq lists it as uncharacterized. The record is from RefSeq and is a predicted model, not a curated record. Lineage: Eukaryota; Metazoa; Chordata; Lepidosauria; Squamata; Sphaerodactylidae. The transcript is spliced from 3 exons.